RNAcentral lists this ribosomal RNA (450 nucleotides) under uncultured Sphingomonas sp. RNAcentral describes it as "bacterial SSU rRNA". It matches the Rfam family "Bacterial small subunit ribosomal RNA", at positions 354 to 796 of the family's 1533-position model. The record is from RNAcentral. Lineage: Bacteria; Pseudomonadati; Pseudomonadota; Alphaproteobacteria; Sphingomonadales; Sphingomonadaceae.
GUGGGGAAUAUUGCACAAUGGGCGCAAGCCUGAUGCAGCCAUGCCGCGUGUAUGAAGAAGGCCUUCGGGUUGUAAAGUACUUUCAGCGAGGAGGAAGGCAUUAAGGUUAAUAACCUUAGUGAUUGACGUUACUCGCAGAAGAAGCACCGGCUAACUCCGUGCCAGCAGCCGCGGUAAUACGGAGGGUGCAAGCGUUAAUCGGAAUUACUGGGCGUAAAGCGCACGCAGGCGGUCUGUCAAGUCGGAUGUGAAAUCCCCGGGCUCAACCUGGGAACUGCAUUCGAAACUGGCAGGCUAGAGUCUUGUAGAGGGGGGUAGAAUUCCAGGUGUAGCGGUGAAAUGCGUAGAGAUCUGGAGGAAUACCGGUGGCGAAGGCGGCCCCCUGGACAAAGACUGACGCUCAGGUGCGAAAGCGUGGGGAGCAAACAGGAUUAGAUACCCUAGUAGUCC